RNAcentral lists this ribosomal RNA (379 nucleotides) under Saccharomyces pastorianus. Its description in RNAcentral is "eukaryotic LSU rRNA". It matches the Rfam family "Eukaryotic large subunit ribosomal RNA", at positions 2971 to 3344 of the family's 3401-position model. The record is from RNAcentral. Lineage: Eukaryota; Fungi; Ascomycota; Saccharomycetes; Saccharomycetales; Saccharomycetaceae.
UCGUGAGACAGGUUAGUUUUACCCUACUGAUGAAUGUUACCGCAAUAGUAAUUGAACUUAGUACGAGAGGAACAGUUCAUUCGGAUAAUUGGUUUUUGCGGCUGUCUGAUCAGGCAUUGCCGCGAAGCUACCAUCCGCUGGAUUAUGGCUGAACGCCUCUAAGUCAGAAUCCAUGCUAGAACGCGGUGAUUUCUUUGCUCCACACAACAUAGAUGGAUACGAAUAAGGCGUCCUUGUGGCGUCGCUGAACCAUAGCAGGCUAGCAACGGUGCACUUGGCGGAAAGGCCUUGGGUGCUUGCUGGCGAAUUGCAAUGUCAUUUUGCGUGGGGAUAAAUCAUUUGUAUACGACUUAGAUGUACAACGGGGUAUUGUAAGCAG